RNAcentral lists this ribosomal RNA (992 nucleotides) under Salmonella enterica. RNAcentral describes it as "partial 23S ribosomal RNA". Lineage: Bacteria; Pseudomonadati; Pseudomonadota; Gammaproteobacteria; Enterobacterales; Enterobacteriaceae. The record is from RNAcentral.
ACCGGCGAUUUCCGAAUGGGGAAACCCAGUGUGACUCGUCACACUAUCAUUAACUGAAUCCAUAGGUUAAUGAGGCGAACCGGGGGAACUGAAACAUCUAAGUACCCCGAGGAAAAGAAAUCAACCGAGAUUCCCCCAGUAGCGGCGAGCGAACGGGGAGGAGCCCAGAGCCUGAAUCAGCAUGUGUGUUAGUGGAAGCGUCUGGAAAGGCGCGCGAUACAGGGUGACAGCCCCGUACACAAAAGCGCACAUGCUGUGAGCUCGAUGAGUAGGGCGGGACACGUGGUAUCCUGUCUGAAUAUGGGGGGACCAUCCUCCAAGGCUAAAUACUCCUGACUGACCGAUAGUGAACCAGUACCGUGAGGGAAAGGCGAAAAGAACCCCGGCGAGGGGAGUGAAAAAGAACCUGAAACCGUGUACGUACAAGCAGUGGGAGCACCCUUUGGGGUGUGACUGCGUACCUUUUGUAUAAUGGGUCAGCGACUUAUAUUCUGUAGCAAGGUUAACCGWAUAGGGGAGCCGSAGGGAAACCGAGUCUUAACCGGGCGUUAAGUUGCAGGGUAUAGACCCGAAACCCGGUGAUCUAGCCAUGGGCAGGUUGAAGGUUGGGUAACACUAACUGGAGGACCGAACCGACUAAUGUUGAAAAAUUAGCGGAUGACCUGUGGCUGGGGGUGAAAGGCCAAUCAAACCGGGAGAUAGCUGGUUCUCCCCGAAAGCUAUUUAGGUAGCGCCUCGUGAAUUCAUCUCCGGGGGUAGAGCACUGUUUCGGCUAGGGGGCCAUCCCGGCUUACCAACCCGAUGCAAACUGCGAAUACCGGAGAAUGUUAUCACGGGAGACACACGGCGGGUGCUAACGUCCGUCGUGAAGAGGGAAACAACCCAGACCGCCAGCUAAGGUCCCAAAGUCAUGGUUAAGUGGGAAACGAUGUGGGAAGGCCCAGACAGCCAGGAUGUUGGCUUAGAAGCAGCCAUCAUUUAAAGAAAGCGUA